RNAcentral lists this ribosomal RNA (443 nucleotides) under uncultured bacterium. Its description in RNAcentral is "partial 16S ribosomal RNA". It matches the Rfam family "Bacterial small subunit ribosomal RNA", at positions 338 to 795 of the family's 1533-position model. The record is from RNAcentral.
CCUACAGGGGGCAGCAGUGGGGAAUAUUGGACAAUGGGGGGAACCCUGAUCCAGCGACGCCGCGUGAGUGAAGAAGUAUUUCGGUAUGUAAAGCUCUAUCAGCAGGGAAGAAAGGAAUGACGGUACCUGACUAAGAAGCCCCGGCUAACUACGUGCCAGCAGCCGCGGUAAGACGUAGGGGGCAAGCGUUAUCCGGAUUUACUGGGUGUAAAGGGAGCGUAGACGGUUACGCAAGUCUGGAGUGAAAGGCGGGGGCCCAACCCCCGGACUGCUUUGGAAACUGGAUAACUGGAGUGCAGGAGAGGUAAGUGGAAUUCCUAGUGUAGCGGUGAAAUGCGUAGAUAUUAGGAGGAACACCAGUGGCGAAGGCGGCUUACUGGACUGUAACUGACGUUGAGGCUCGAAAGUGUGGGGAGCAAACAGGAUUAGAUACCCGAGUAGUC